This 2687-nucleotide long non-coding RNA is filed under the name Vitis vinifera (wine grape). RNAcentral's name for it is "long non-coding RNA (VVIN_LNC002109)". The record is from RNAcentral. Lineage: Eukaryota; Viridiplantae; Streptophyta; Magnoliopsida; Vitales; Vitaceae.
GUGUGUUUAAGUUGCGCCUCUUUCAACAAGUGUUGCUUGGAGUAAGGCGAGGCGUCGACAGUUUGCAUCACGCCACCUUACGCUUAGGCGUGCCUAAAAUGUACCUUUCACAACUAUGAUCUAAACAAACCAAAUAAAAAAAAUUAAAAAUUAACACCUAUGGACCCGCAUUUUUCACGUGCAUCCUCACUCGAUAACAAGACUCAUUUUUAUUGUGAAAAAAUUGAUUUUUGAAAAAUGGAGUCACCACUUAUUUUUGUUUAUUUUUAAAAGGAAAAAAUAAGAAAUAAAAUCCUAAACUGAUUCAUUUUUGAAGAAAAACAUGUUUAUGAAAAAAUAAAGUCUAAGUCUCGAGUCAAGUUACUUACCAUGGGGAAACGCCCAUCUAAGCCCUAAAAAUGUCUCUAUUAAACAAGUGGAGGAAAUUAUGAUCGUUAACUAGUAGAUCAUAAAUACUAAGAAACCAUAAAAGCAUAAAUAUACAAGGCAUGGUAAUAAAGAAUAAGAAACUAAUGAUGACUAUAUGAGCUCUGUAAAUCAGAAAAUCACAUGAAUCCAAAUAAAGAUCACUAAAGAGCACAACAUACUUAGCAAAAGAAUUCAACAAUUAAAGGGAGAAAGGAACGUACCUCAAUAAUGCCUAAAAUAAGGGCAAUGAGCUUAUAGAAGAAAGAAAAGAUAAUUUAGAAAUAAAAGAAGAGAACUAUCAUCAAACCAAGGAUCACUCAAUAUGCACAAGAUGUCUAGAACUUAAAUCAAAGGUCAAAAGUAGCUAAGCUAACAUCAUAUGGUAUUGAAAAAGAUGUUAAGGAGUUAAAACAGGACAACAUACAUGCACUUACAAAAUAAAUUCAUUUCAAAGAGUUAAAGGGUGGUCAUGCUAUAGGGGAGAGCUUAUUUAUGAUGCUCAAGAUGUAUACUACACAAAUCAAGAAUCAAGGAAGGCUAAAAGUAUACCAAAUAAGAUUGAUUUCACAAAACAUGCAAAAGGUGCAAGACAUGACAACAUAUUAAUGUGUAAGAGAUUGAUUUAUUUGACAAGGUUAGAGGUAAGAUAAAAAUUAAGGCAAAAAUUCUCUAACAUGUACAAGAUGUCUGAAAUACAUAUGAAAAGUCAAAGGGGUCUAACUAAACAUCGAAGGGUAUAAAUUUCAAUAAACAUUCCAUAACUCAAAAACAGGGCAAUGUACAAAUACUCCAAAGAUUAAUUUAUUCCACAACCAUAGAAAUGAUUUUUCAACAAUGCUAAAGCUCCCAAGUUUAUUUAAGAUGUCUAGAUUAAAGUUCAAGCCUAAAACAUAAUUAACAAUGAAAGAAUUGUGACUAAUUCACAAAAACAUUUUAGUAUGCAAUAAUAAGGCAACAAUCAACACUUGUGUCAAAUAAUCUAGAUUUAUAAAAACAUUUUAGGACUCAAAAAUAGGAAGUCAGUAGCCAACACUUGGCAAUCAAAAUAUGUGGGCUUUGACACCAGCCUAAAUUAUUUUCCAUUGACAAUCCAACAUUCCAAUCCUCUAAUGAGCAUAGCAAAAGGCUCAUAAGGGCUAGGAAUAAUCUCAUUCAUUUCAGAUUGCAAGGAUGAUCAAUGUUUCCAUAAACAAGAAAUAUUGAAAAUCAAAAGUUUAGAAAAACAAGUGAUGUUGGCUAAAGACACCGGCCAUUGUUCAACUAUAGGGCCCUCAUUCCUUUUAACCCUUAAAUGAACAUGGAAUUAAGUUCAUAAGAGGCGUGGAAUGCCUGUACUCAUAUUUGAGAAAAGUAGCUAAAAUGCACAUAAAAGCAUUUGUGGGAAGGCAUGCUCUCAUAUGGAUUCAAGCUCUUAAUGAUCAUGAAAGGAUAUUCACAAGGGCUGAAAAAUGACUCAGAAAAAUCAAGCUUAAAAAGCUUUGAAAAAACCCAAAAGAUUGAGAGCAACUAGUUAUGCUUUCAAGUAAAAUGGUAAGGCUAAAAUCUAUGGCUAUAGACCUAACCUUUGGCCAUAAAAAUAGCUAUCAAAGAGAGCUUGAAAUUCAAUUAAAAAAUAAGUUGAAAACAAGAGUUGGCAAUCAACUUUAAAAUGGAAACAAACAAAAAAAAAUGCAAAAAAGCUCUAUAGAACAUUUUCUAAGGAAAAUAAUUUUGACAAAACAUCAAACACAUGAGCCUCUCAAUCUUCCUUUUAAAAUCAGUUGAGACAUCUCCAAAAAUCUUUAAAAUUAGAGAAAAUGAAAUUCGCAAUGGGUAAACAAAGAAAAUCCAUAGGUUACAAAUCAAGACAACACUCACAUCAUGUUCUUAAACUUAAUGGGCUCCAAAUAGAAAAUUAGUCCAAGAAAUAAAUAAAUCAAAACUAGGCAAGGCAUGAAGAACAUCCAAAUAUCAAUUUAAGCAAAUAAACAAACAUUUAAUGAGCACCUAAAGUGAAAAGAAUGGAGAAAAUCAUAUUGGACCCUAAGAUGAAGAGAAAAUACCCAAAAUUAACCAUAUGAUCUUUCAACACCCACAACCCAUGUAACUAUCAUCUAAAGAAUCAAUAGACAAACCAAAAAUGAAGUCGGAAUUAAAAAAGACUUACCAAAGAAACUCCCCCUAAGUACGAUACUUGGCUUCUAGUAUGCACAAAUCUUUUUCUUCAAGCCAAGCUCACCUCUAAAUCUUUCAAUACUCUCUUAUCUUUCUUUUCUCUCUUAAAAUGGGUAGAGUUUCCC